Molecule: long non-coding RNA, 6811 nt
Filed under: Sus scrofa (pig)
Lineage: Eukaryota; Metazoa; Chordata; Mammalia; Artiodactyla; Suidae
Description: lncRNA (ENSSSCG00030001136.1)
Source: RNAcentral
AUGAUGAGGUGCUACAUUUUCAAAGAGACAUCAUGUGUCUUUCUAACAACACUCACUUUCCUCUUAAAAUGGCCCCACAUGAAAUUUAAGGACACAAGUCGAAUUUUUUUUUUUUCUUUCGACAGGCCAUCAAAGGAGUGAUUUCAGGGCUAUCAAGUAGACAUAAUUCAGGGUCCAUUUUAUAAUCCCUUUAUACAUAGCCUGCGAAAAAUUUCACAGUGAAAACUGUCACAAGCUUCUACUCCUGGUGCCAAUGGCUAAUUUGCAACCUCUCUUUGACCUGCUGGGUUGUUAUCAGUUAAAAAAUAAACCCUUACUGGAGAUUUAGAUAUUUUGACAAAUAUAUAAAAAUUUGAGCCAUGAGCCCUGUAAAAAAUGGUCAUGGAGGAAAAUAACACAGAAAAGUUACCAGGAAAGAGCUCAAUGAACUUUCUCCUUGUUAAGAAAUGUUUAAAUCCUUUUGUUUGUAAAUGGCAGGUGGGUUGUACAAUUCCAAUGUAAUUUCAGAAAGCCAUCUUCUGAAUGUAAUAAACAUGUCGGCAAUAAUAGGAUUCAGAAAAUAGCAAAAUGCAUUCCAGACGCACUUUGAUUGUGCAUACAGAACAGAGAAUUUAGCUAUAAUUGGCUAUAACACAGUUAUGGACAGCAAAUGACACACUGUGGGUUUGGGUGAUGUAGCAACCCUGAUUAGCGCUGUUCGUUUUAGCCAAACACCAGAAAUAAAAUAAUGACUCUGUAGUGACACAGCACCUUUUCUUCCUCCCACCCUCCCUCCCUCUCGUUUUUUCCUUCCUCAUUUUUCCCCUUCUGUUUAACUGAAGUAUCAUAACUUAGACUAGAAAACUUAUGCUCUCAUUACUCAACAAAUCAAUUAUCAGCCAAGACUCCAUUCUUUCCAGAGACGAACAAUCGUAUGUGAAGGGGGAAGCAAAAGCCCAUGGAGAAUUGACUUUUGGAGAACUAGAUGUAAUUUGAAUCAAGAAUUAUAAUAGGAAAUAAACCAUUACAAUAAACAAGGAAACAUGUACACAAUUACUUUCACAGUGUAAUUUUAUUCACUCUAGUUGAGAAAAUAAAGAGAUAAUACUGACCGUAGCACCUGGGUAUUUAAUGCAAACUGUAAAAUCUAUUAUAUUAAACAAAGUCAAAAGCAAUGCGAAAGAUCUUGAAUCUAUUCAAGGCAUGCACCUCAUUACAGACUUAGCAAAUUAAAACACAAAUAGGAUUAGAAAAGAAUAAUGUAACAAUCUCCCACCACGGUCCCUAGAGCAUUAAGUCAUAAAUUGGGUUUGCAUUAAAUUGUGCCUGCAGUAUUGAAUUCAGUGAAAGAGCUGUGGGCUGGAGAUAAACCAUGCUGGGCUACUCACCAACUUUGGCAAAGCUAUGUGUUUUCUGAGACAUGUAGUAAAUUUGUUAGAAUAUAGCAGGCCCACGAAAAAAAAUGAGCACUUCAUAUCUUAAUUAAAAAAAUGUCCAUGUCACAUCAUAUCAAACCUCCUCUUUUAGAGAACACAAAUGGGCUUUUAGACUAUCCAGAGGAAUGUCCUUUUUUUUUUUUUCCAGUUGAAGAUUAGACCUUAACCACUCUGGCUGAUUUAUAGAAAAAUAUAUAUGACUUAUUUUUAAAGCAAGUGGAUGUACUUAAAUCAGUUUUUUCAAGUGAUUCAAAAUUGAAAAAUGUUGUCCACCACGUGUCCUUCCAUUCCAGGCUCUGUUCGGUUUAUGUCCUAACCCUUGAGUGAGGGAACCUAAAUCAGGCAAAAGGAAAUGGUUCUGAUUUUGGCGCCCCUGCAUUAAUUGCUUAUCUGCUGCCUCUUUGCAUAUGGCAGGCCAAAGGCAGAAAGCAGGCUGUGGGUCCUGCUUCCUUGGGGGCCCUAUCCCAGAAUAGAACUCAGUUUAUUUUCUCUGACUUCCUAAGGCUGUUAUGAGGAUUAAAGAAAAUCAGUGUAGAAUGCCUCGGUGCUCAAAAAACGUUGGUCUCCCUGCUCCCACUUCAUCACUGAGUGUAAGUCACAGAAGCAACCUCCACAAGGACACCCGAUUUCACUGGUUCCCCCAGUGGGAGUAGAGCCUUCUAGGUUCAAUGGAGCGCAGGAACGUCUCAGGUCGGUAGUGAGAUCUGUCCAGACCCUCCUGGUGGAGGAGGGCCACGUGCCUCUUCCUCACCAGGCACUUUCUUUUCCCUCCCUCGCCUCUGAUUCCCAUCGCCUCCCUCCCAGCCUUUGCAGCUGUCCUGGUCAUCAGGCGAAGUGUCCCUUCAUCACACUCAGCAGAAGACAGCCUGUUUAAACUGGCGCUGUCUAUUUUUAAGAGCUAUUUUGGAAGUCUAAGCGGCUCCCGUUUUGGCUUUAGUAAGACAAAUCUGGGCUAAAACACCCAGUGCCUCUUAAGUGUGAUGGAUACCCAGGACCCGCUGAAGUUUCCCGUAGCCACCGUCUGGUUCGUCCUAGUGGCAGUUUUUCUGCCAUGUUAUUUAUGUGGUGGUUUUACUUCUAAUUACGGCUCAUGAUGGCUGUUAGUGCUGAGCAGUAAGAGAGCAAACGGCAUUGUACUGCCAUUUAACUCCAGCCCAUAAAACGGGCGAUAAAGCUGAGGGCUUCACACCAAAACAGAAGCCCCCCCCCCCCCAAAAAAAAACCCGACCAUAACUUUCUGUGACAAGCUCACCUCCACCGCUGCCACUCUGAGGCUGGAAACUUUCACUGAUGAAGCACAUGGAGGCAGGUGACUCCCGAGGCCUCGGAGCCUCAAAUUUCAGCCCCGGCUUCAUUGUUAAGUCAUCCUUUAUUGUAGACAGAACAACCCCAGACCUCGGAUAUAAUUAACACAUGCCAGGUUUCAUCAGAACCAGGGUACUUGUUGUUUGGAAACUAAUGAAAGCAAAUAGAUGUUACUUAACACCGUCCAUAAUGAAAGGUCUUUUGUGGUUCUCAAUUUUGAUUACUGUUUUUUGAUGCUAAGAAGAAUGCCACUUGGUAUGUGCAUAAACAAAGAAGAUAAAUGGCCAGGAUGAGAAUGAGUUGUCCAUAAUCUGAUUAAAGCAAUAGAGCUGGCUCCUAGGAGAACCACACGGGGUUUAAUGAUUGGGUUGUUGUUCUUAAUACGUCUCAUGUUCACUCUUAAAGAAAUCAAGAAAAAUGUUAAGAGGUUACUGAUAUUUCACUCUGGCGUUGGGCUGUCAGAGCUUCUGACAGGGAAAGAACAUUCUCUUUGGCUGGAACAUAAAGUCCAGCCACGUAGGAAGCUCAUUUGCCCAAAUGAUAGCAGGAGGCAUUUAAAACCGAAAUCUGCCCCCAUUCACUCACUCCGCGGGCAGAGCCGUCACGGAUGAGGCAAGGACAGGCUUGGCUUUGCUGAAGGUGCGAUGUGAUAAAAUAGCUGAGAAACGCCACUCAUCUUCUGUUUCGUUAAUUCCUCUUCCUUCUUGACAGAAUGCUUCCGGAUUUCGGGAAGAUGUCUGCUAGCGUUUGGAUAGUAAAUACAUUCUUUAAAAGCUCGGGGAUACUCUAGGCUGCUGGGAUGUUAGGGAGAAGAGUCACACCAUUCUCAAGCUCUGCAGGAGCUGGCCAUGGUUGAAUGUAGUGAGUUGCUUCUUCAUUCCUUCCUGUUGGUGAGUUCCAAGGUCCUGUGUGUGUGUGCAUAGUCACACCGUUACUCAUAGGUGACUGGUCCUAGAAAUCUACGUCAGUCUAACAGCUUGAGCGACAGAGAGAGGGCUGACUCUGGCUACUGUGCAUCGCCUCCAGGAUACACAAUCAACAUAAGCUCUCAGGAAUCUAAUAAAUUUUAAGAUGACUCCAGUGACAUUCAGCCAUUAAGAUCUUUGUUGCCUUUGAAACUCUACACUGGGUCAUUGGAUUCUGGAUGGACAGGAAUUGGGUUAUUUUGCUUAUUUUAUUUUUUAUUUAUUUUUGGGGGGGCCAUGCCCACAGCACACAGAGGUUCCCUAGGCAAGGAUUGAACCCACACCAUAGCAGCGAUCUGAAUGCUGUAGUGACAAUACUGGAUCCUUAACCUACUUCACCACAAAGGCACCCCUGUUCUGCUUAUUUAAAACUGGUCAUCUAAGUGAUUUUGAGCGCUCAGAACUUCAGUUUCAGUUCCUCAGAUACAUAUUUGAACAUCCACUGUGUGUUAAUGUCCCAUUUUACAGAUGAGAAAGCUGAGGUUCAGAGAGAUUAAAUAACUUCCCCAAGACCCCUAGCUGAGUGGUUAGUCAGUAGCUUAGUCCCAACUGAAUAAAAUCCAUCUGAUUCUCAAGUUUACCUUUCUGCCAUCCUACUGGUCUCAAUCAACAGUUAAACCUCCAUGUUUCAAUGAAUAUGAAAUAUCCCUGUGUGGUCUCUUUUCUUUUCUUUUGCUUUUUAGGCCCGAAUAUGUGGCACACGGAGGUUCCCAGGCUAGGGGUCGAAUCGGAGCUGCAGCCACCAGCCUAACCCACAGACUCAGCAAGGCUAAAUCCAAGCUGCAUCUCUGACCUACACCACAGCUCACGGCAACACCAGAUCCUUAACCCACUGAGUGAGCCCAGGGAUUGAACCUACGUCCUCAUGGAUACUAGUCAGGUUCAUUACUGCUGAGCUGCAACAGGAAUUCCCGUGUGGUCUCUUUUCUUGAUAGAGCCUAUGAAUCUGACAAAAACAGGUGAUUGGCCCUCUCCCAGGCAAGGAGAAGCACAGAGGCUUGGCCUGCUUGCUCCCUGCACCUGGGCAGGUGGGGCAUGAUUUCCACGUACUUCUCAGCUCCUUGUUAGUGGCCUCCUCUUUCCCUCGCAGACCAGACUUCGGCUUCCGUCACUUCCCAAGCCCAACAGACUGGUUGGGUUCCCAGAGACAUGGGAAGGACAUUGGUUGGAAAUGAAUUGAGAGAGAGUUGUCUUUUCUGAGCCUUUCCCUUCUCCCACUGGCCCAUUUUGGAGCCAUGUGGUCGGUCACAUCUUGGCACCACCACUCGCGGGCAGGGAGAGGAAAUGAAAGGAGAUGACAAAACCACAGCUGUGUUAUUUAUUAGGCCUCGAUUUUUUUUUAAAUGAUGGAGAAAAAGGUGGAACUAAGCUGCUUUCUCUUAGAAAAUGCUGGCAGUAAUUUUAGUGGCAGGUUUUAAACAUCUGAAUGUAUUAGCUAUAAUGAGCUCUGCAGCAGGGUGGUGAGGAGAGAGCCCAAGGCUCAUUGGCAGGGUCGGGGUGACCUUGGGCAAGCCACUUCCCAUCUCUAGGCCUCAGUUCCCCCUUCUGUACGGAGCGCCCGUGCAGCCUGGUGAUCCCUGUGACUUCCUGGGAAUGCGGCCAGGGGUGGGGCAGACCACCUGCUCUGGAGUCAGCUGAUGGCUCUGAAUCUUGACUCUGUUGGAGUUCUCAUUGUGGCUCAGUGGAAACGAACCUGACUAGUGCCCACGAGGAAGCUGGUUUGAUCCCUGACCUCGCUCAGUGGGUUAACUAUCCGGGGUUGCCACGAGCUGUGGUGUAGGUCGCAGGCGGGGCUUGGAUCUGGUGUUGCUGUGGCUCUGGUGUAGGCUAGCAGCAAUAGCUCUGAUUCGACCCUUAGCAUGGGAACAUCCAUGAGCCACACCUGUGGCCCAAAAUAAAAUAGAGUCUUAGCUCUGUCAAUCAGUCCUUGCAGGAGCUGUGUGACCUGGGGUCAGUUACUCAGCUUCUCUGAAGCUCAGUUUCCACCUCUGUAAAAUGGGGAUAAGGGUCCAGCUCAGUGUUCAUUAAGAGGUUUGGACUGGUCAAUGCAUGAAUAGCUUCUGGAGAAGGCAUUUUCCCAGAACCGGAAGGAAGAACUGGUGAGGAGGAUGCUUAGAAGGCAAAUGAUCUUGGUGAGACGUGCACGCUGGGAGAGGCUGGGGGUGGGAGGAGUGGGGUUCUGGGCGACCCUUCCCAAGAGAGGAGAAAACCAAGUACCUGUUAGUAGCAGGACAGAAAACGGGGUGCCUCAGUGCCAACCUUCGUCAGGAACAUGGCCUUGAGGGAAAAAAAGAAAUCUCAGAACACUCUCGCUUCCUUGCCUCCUGCUUUUCAUUUCUUAACUCUUUAUUUUUAAUGAAGAUGGGAAGGUUUACAAUUUUGACAGUUCCAUUUAUUUCUAGCAUUUUCAUCUAAAACAAUACAAUGAGCAGCAAUUAUUCCACCCGGAUGUCGGCUGCAGCUGGAUAAAUGUCACUAGUAAUUAAACGUGCUCUGUGCACUCUGUGCUGUCUCUUCCGUUCGCUGUCUGUCUGUCUGUCUCCUUCUUUACCACCAACCACCAAACCAUCCCUUUGUCCUUCCUCCUUCUCACCCCCACCCUCCAUUCUCAUAGAGGGGCACAAGAAAGUACCGAAUAGGGACCCGGUUGACCUCAAGGGGCUGAACCGCGUGCAUGAAGUGCCCAGAAGAGCAAAUCCUCCCCCAGAGGGCAGGUGGAGGAUCCCAGGGAAGGAGAGCGGCUGCCUUCCAUUCCUGGGCUCGCCUUCCACUCCGUAUCUAAUCCCUCCAGGCCACAGGGGGGCGCCCCAGCUGCUCCUCUGUGCAGGGAAGCUGCUCCUCUGGCCUGUGCCUAUCAGUGUCCUCUGUCCUAAGCAGAGGGUCCUGCAUCUGAGCAAGGGGAAGGAGAUAACUCCCAAGCCCCAAUUUCCCCAGGAUUCCUCCUCAGGUGUCACUCACCCAGGUAGCUGGGGCUCUACGGACACCAAGAAAGCAAUAGGAGCUUUCUUUGCAAAAUCAUGGUCAAAUAUUUAUAUUUGUUUAGGAUUUGCUUCCAUAGGAUUUGUUGUUGUUGUUAAUUCUAAUCUAUUUCCAAAAUUAAUAUGAAUCUCUUUUAUAGGUAAACAC